Molecule: ribosomal RNA, 639 nt
Filed under: uncultured bacterium
Lineage: Bacteria
Description: bacterial SSU rRNA
Rfam family: Bacterial small subunit ribosomal RNA
Source: RNAcentral
CGCGGCCUAUCAGCUUGUUGGAGAGGUAACGGCUCACCAAGGCAUCGACGGGUAGCUGGUCUGAGAGGAUGAUCAGCCACACUGGAACUGAGACACGGUCCAGACUCCUACGGGAGGCAGCAGUGGGGAAUCUUGCACAAUGGGCGCAAGCCUGAUGCAGCAACGCCGCGUGCGGGAAGACGGCCCUAGGGUUGUAAACCGCUUUCAGGAGGGAAGAAAAUGACGGUACCUCCAGAAGAAGGUGCGGCCAACUACGUGCCAGCAGCCGCGGUGACACGUAGGCACCAAGCGUUAUCCGGAUUUAUUGGGCGUAAAGAGCUCGUAGGCGGUUCGGUAAGUCGGGUGUGAAAAUCCAAGGCUCAACCUUGGGACGCCACCCGAUACUGCUGUGACUCGAGUGCAGUAGGGGAGCAGGGAAUUCCUGGUGUAGCGGUGAAAUGCGCAGAUAUCAGGAGGAACACCAGUGGCGAAGGCGCUGCUCUGGGCUGUAACUGACGCUGAGGAGCGAAAGCAUGGGUAGCAAACAGGAUUAGAUACCCUGGUAGUCCAUGCCGUAAACGUUGAGCACUAGGUGUGGGUCUCAACCAACGAGAUCCGCGCCGUCGCUAACGCAUUAAGUGCCCCGCCUGGGGAGUACGG